GCUGGGAGGAGUCCAAGUGUGAAGACCUCAAAAGAACCAAAAGAUUAGUUAGAUAUGCUGAGCUCAUUGUCUCAACAUGGAGGAAGGAACUCAAAAACCAGAAGAGGACAUUAUGAGAAUUUUACUGGAGAUAAGGAGACUAUUUCCUGGUCUCCAGGAGGGGUGUGGGGUUAAACAGUGUCAGUUGCUCAGGUGGUUUAUCUCUGCAAUCACUGCCUCAGUCCCUCUGUUCUGGAACUACAGGCUGGACAUGAACUCAGCAAUCCUGCUUCAGAUUCCCAAAUGCUGGGAUUACAGGUAGGGUGACACUACAGCUGCUCUCAGACUCCUUUAAAAAAAUCUAUUAUUUAUUUGGUACAGGGUCUUACUACACAGCUAGCUCAGACUCAUAGUGACC
Molecule: long non-coding RNA, 397 nt
Organism: Octodon degus (degu)
Lineage: Eukaryota; Metazoa; Chordata; Mammalia; Rodentia; Octodontidae
Exons: 4
Source: RefSeq, a predicted model, not a curated record